UGGGGAAUUUUGGACAAUGGGCGCAAGCCUGAUCCAGCCAUGCCGCGUGCGGGAAGAAGGCCUUCGGGUUGUAAACCGCUUUUGUCAGGGAAGAAACGCGCUGGGUUAAUACCUCGGCGUAAUGACGGUACCUGAAGAAUAAGCACCGGCUAACUACGUGCCAGCAGCCGCGGUAAUACGUAGGGUGCAAGCGUUAAUCGGAAUUACUGGGCGUAAAGCGUGCGCAGGCGGCUUUGCAAGACAGAUGUGAAAUCCCCGGGCUCAACCUGGGAACUGCAUUUGUGACUGCAUGGCUGGAGUGCGGCAGAGGGGGAUGGAAUUCCGCGUGUAGCAGUGAAAUGCGUAGAUAUGCGGAGGAACACCGAUGGCGAAGGCAAUCCCCUGGGCCUGCACUGACGCUCAUGCACGAAAGCGUGGGGAGCAAACAGGAUUAGAUACCCUGGUACGUCCACGCCCUAAACGA
This 463-nucleotide ribosomal RNA is filed under the name uncultured Pseudomonadota bacterium. Its description in RNAcentral is "bacterial SSU rRNA". It matches the Rfam family "Bacterial small subunit ribosomal RNA", at positions 355 to 809 of the family's 1533-position model. The record is from RNAcentral. Lineage: Bacteria; Pseudomonadati; Pseudomonadota.